GAGGUUGUAGCUCAGUGGUAGAGCAUGUGUUUAGCAUGCACGAGGUCCUGGGUUCAAUUCCCAGGACCUCC
Molecule: transfer RNA, 71 nt
Filed under: Camelus bactrianus (Bactrian camel)
Lineage: Eukaryota; Metazoa; Chordata; Mammalia; Artiodactyla; Camelidae
Also listed under: 2 other names
Rfam family: tRNA
About the family: Transfer RNA (tRNA) molecules are approximately 80 nucleotides in length.
Source: Rfam by way of RNAcentral